CACAGAAAAUUACCAUACAUCCUAUGUAUAUUUUUUUAAAAUGCCCAUUGUGCUGCAUUAUGUGUUGUGCACUAUGCACGAUGUGCUGCAGUCUAAAGCAGCUGUAAACCCCCUUUACUGGCCAACAUGUUCAGGCUUCUCUAGAGUGGUGUACAGCAACCAACACAUCCUAAGGAAUUUGGCCCUAAAAGGUUAAAAAAAAAAAAGAUGUAUUUUUAGAUAAGUACCUAUCUUCAUAUUGUUGUAAAUAUCAUAUGGCUACAUUCUCUGAGUUUCUUGUUUUGUGAUCAAGUAUGACAUUUUUAAUUGAAAAAAGAUGGGAAUUCCAUCACAGCAAUAUAAGGGAAAAUAAAGAAAAAAAUCUAAAAUGUCUUUAAAAAUCAAUUUUAAUCUGGGACCACAAACACUGCAAUGUCUUGAUUAUCACCACAUGCUUAUUGCAUGGUAUCAUUAGAAGGCAAAGUUAAGGAUGCCCUGAGCGUUUACAUAUCUUGUUUGGAUUUAAGUUUAACCUCACUUCUGAAUCCUCUGCUUGUUUAGGGGAUAAUUACAAUACAUUUUAUCCUAGAUUACCGAUACGUAUUUUCAACCUUCACUCCCUCUUACUGUAGUUUUUGCCUGGGAAUACUAUGUAGUCUAUUAAACAGGCCUAGGAUGAAAGAGAGACACUAUUGUGUGUGAGGGAUAUACUCUAAUUCUAAAAAAAGUCUUUGAAUAUGAAAUAUUUCAUAUUCAGUCUCAGAGGGGAUUUUUUUUCAAAUCUGUAAAAUCAGAGAUAAACCCCUUUAACUAUCUUUCAGUUAUCAAAAGGUAAAAUAUGACGUUUUCCAUUUAAAAUAAAUGUUAGGUCACUGCUUUACUUAAAGAAUGAAAAAAACUAUGCCUGAAGUUUAUUACUUGAAAUUUCAGUUUUGCUGAUCCUCAGUGAGGCCUUGGCCUUUCUGCUGUCAGGAUCCACUUUCCCACCCACAUUAAACCAGUGUUAAGAGCAUUGAAAUCUUAUUUUUGUGCAUGGUAACUUUGGGAGCUAUGAACUAUCAGGGCUAGUAUCUACACAGAAAACUUCCUCUGUAGAUUGAUUUCAAUGUAGAAAAAGAUUCUGGACCAGAUUCUCUCUGUGUAUUCUGGCCAUUUUCUGCUGCUCAAGUAGCGCAAAAUGGUAGAUGGUUGCCCUACCUGGUUAGAUGAUUAUUUCUCCAGUGUGGGGAAGUUUUCACCUGGCAUAAAGAGGCAUAAUCAGCCUUUAUGCCAACUACCGCACUCACACCAUGUAUGGGACAGGAGAGAGCAUGACACAGCAUACUUUCACUCAAUCAAUUCUCAACUGAUGUGUGGUCCCACAGGAAGCACAGCCAGCUGGCACAGAAGUUAGAGCAGCCCCUAAGCUCUCCUCUACCAACUGAAUCUCAGCAAGGAGAGAAUCUGGGUGCUUAUGCAUGACUUUUAAGGUCUGUACGAGUUGACCUCUCUACUGUGAAGCUUUCAGCACCUCAGGAGAAGGAUUUCUCUCUCUUUGGAAUGCACAGGGAAAUUAAAAUAUAACUUAUGUUAAGGUUACAAAUCUCAUGACUUCUAGAGUUUAUGUGCAAAAACAGUGGUUCUCAUACUGUAGUUAUUAUUAAUUUGCACAUACUGCACGCGUGUUGUAUUGUCAAUUUCUGGAUUGAUAUCUAAAUGUCUACAUAAAUAUGAAUUUACGGAAACCAAAAAAUAUACAGGAUGUGUAGCAUAGCUGAGUUAAUGUUACAACAGAAAUUUUAAACUUCUUCCAUUUCCUCACGUUGUGAGCAUUAACAUUCCUAACCUUAAUGUUACUAGUUAAUAGAGAAACAUGCAUUAAUGUAUCAAAACCUCAAACAAUGGGCAUAGAGAAGCCAGUGGUAGGAUUAGAAUCCAUCAGCCAGACCUCCAGCUACAGUAAAAUGUCAGAGCUCCAUUGACUUCAACUGAGCUACAACAAUUUACACAACUGAGGAUAUGGCCCUAUCUCUGGACAUGACAGGGUAAGCGCUCUGUCAAGCUUAACACACACUUGCGGUUUUUUCAAAUAGGCUGAUGUCCCCUUUCCCUUUUUCACACUUUAAAGGCCACAGUAGAGAAGGCUCAUUGUCUGAAGUAACUGUUGGACUGUGCUUCUGCCUGGAUGUAGUGCUGGGCAGCAAUGAAAGUUACAGACAUAAGUACAAGCCUCUGGGAGGAGUCAACUCAGGCAUCUGGUUAAGGAGAAAUAGUUCUUUUUGUAGGAACUACAUCACCCAACAUGGCACCAGGAGUGUGCGUACAGCAUCAGAUGACAACAGAAAGCAAAGCAAAUGGCUGUAUCCUUCAACACCAACUUAUUAUAGUUUUAUCAGCCCUUCCAUCUGAAAGAUUGCAUCAUGUUAUUUUAUGUCUGGACAAGAACAAACUCCAUCUUUGCCUCCUGAUCUUCUUGGUUAAAAUGGAUUGGAAGAUUUGAUCUGAUAAGAGACUAUCUGUUGAAGUGUUGUCAGAAAAGUGGUUAUGUAAAAACAACACCCUCUUUCCACGUUACAUUGUGCAUUUCUGAGCCAAAAUUGUUGACUUUACUCACAAAAAACAGGUUUGUAUUCCUGUUAUCUCUGCAGAGCCAAUAGUUAUGAGCACCUUACCUGGACUUUAUUCUGCCUCCUACACCAUCGUCAACAUUGUCUGCAAAGCCCUCAUUGCAGAACCUUUACCUUUAGAGCUGAGGUUAGAGGAACAAUCCAGGGAGAAACUGCAACAGAAGAAAAAGGGCAGUGGCAAGAGAGGUUUCUUCAAAUUAUUAGGCCUACAACUAGAAGACAAAAGUGGUUAGUUCACGUCACAAUGGUCUUCGUAUUGCCAAGCAGGACACAGAGGUUCAAGGCAGAGACAAAGCAUCACGCACAAAGCUACAAAGCUGUCCCAUUUCUAAACCAAUGGAAAGCAACCCAAAGAAUUUUUAAAAAGAUCUUGAAAAUGUAGUCAGUGCUAAACCAAAAUUUGUUUCUGGUAUGAUGCUAAUUUCCAUUCCAAGUCACCGUAACAGUCUUGCUGGGAAAUUUGCUUCCAAAAUGCACAUCGUGGGUUUUGUUUGUUGUUGUUUUUUGUUUUUUAAAUUAUGAGUACUGGGUAGAAUCUGAAUGAGAUAUUCUUCCCUCCUCCCCGGGUUCACUCUUGUAUUAGUAGAAAUCAAACAGGCUAGCCAUGUCUCUCUAACUAAUCUUCAGUAUGACACUGUUCACACAGUACAGCUUUCGCUGCAGGAGAGCCAGAAGUGGGCAAACGCGUUUGCCCUCCAGCAAGUGAGGGAAACAAACAGGAAGAAUGCUACUUGCAUCUACUCUACUUUUAAUUUCUUGUCAGAGAGAAAACUAAAUUGUGAAGGAAAGAAUAAUAAUUCAUGGAGGUAAGUGGUAAAGGAGAUGUAAUGCAACAUGCAUUUAUCAAAGAUAGAUCAUGCCAUAUUAACUUGAUUUCCUUCUUUGAGAAAAUAACUUUUUUAGCUAGGAAAGAUUUACUGUACCUGAACUUCAGUAAUGCGUUUUACAUGGUACCACGUGGGAAACUACUAGUUACAUUAGGGAAGAUGGCACUCAGUGUAAGAAAUAUAAUGUGGAUAAGGAAACAGCUAAAGAGCGAAAGGCAACAAGCAGUGCUGAAAGGGGAACUACUGGACUGGAAGGAAAUUACUAGUGG
This is a non-coding RNA of Chelonoidis abingdonii (Abingdon island giant tortoise), 3681 nucleotides long. Lineage: Eukaryota; Metazoa; Chordata; Testudines; Testudinidae. The record is from RefSeq and is a predicted model, not a curated record.